This is a microRNA precursor of Macaca fascicularis (crab-eating macaque), 61 nucleotides long. The record is from Ensembl. NCBI's taxonomy places the organism in Eukaryota, Metazoa, Chordata, Mammalia, Primates, Cercopithecidae.
UUGAAAUGCAGAGUCUGAUCCAGUAAGUCUAGAAUCCUGCCUCAGAUUCUGGAUUCCUACC